AAUUGCGAUGGGGGGACGGAGAAGGCUAGGUGGGCCAGGCGACGGUUGUCCUGGUUCAAGUGCGUAGGCUUAAGAGUUAGGUAAAUCCGGCUCUUUCUAAGGCUGAGACACGACGUCGAGCUACUACGGUAGUGAAGUCAUUGAUGCCAUGCUUCCAGGAAAAGCCUCUAAGCUUCAGAUUGUAAGGAAUCGUACCCCAAACCGACACAGGUGGUCGGGUAGAGAAUACCAAGGCGCUUGAGAGAACUCGGGUGAAGGAACUAGGCAAAAUGGUACCGUAACUUCGGGAGAAGGUACGCUCUUGAUGGUGAAGUCCCUCGCGGAUGGAGCUGACGAGAGUCGCAGAUACCAGGUGGCUGCAACUGUUUAUUAAAAACACAGCACUGUGCAAAAUCGCAAGAUGACGUAUACGGUGUGACGCCUGCCCGGUGCCGGAAGGUUAAUUGAUGGGGUUAGCGCAAGCGAAGCUCUUGAUCGAAGCCCCGGUAAACGGCGGCCGUAACUAUAACGGUCCUAAGGUAGCGAAAUUCCUUGUCGGGUAAGUUCCGACCUGCACGAAUGGCGUAAUGAUGGCCACGCUGUCUCCACCCGAGACUCAGUGAAAUUGAAAUCGCUGUGAAGAUGCAGUGUACCCGCGGCUAGACGGAAAGACCCCGUGAACCUUUACUACAGCUUGGCACUGAACAUUGAACCUACAUGUGUAGGAUAGGUGGGAGGCUAUGAAGACGUGACGCUAGUUGCGUUGGAGCCGUCCUUGAAAUACCACCCUUGUAUGUUUGAUGUUCUAACUUAGACCCGUUAUCCGGGUUGAGGACAGUGCCUGGUGGGUAGUUUGACUGGGGCGGUCUCCUCCCAAAGAGUAACGGAGGAGCACGAAGGUGGGCUAAUCACGGUUGGACAUCGUGAGGUUAGUGCAAUGGCAUAAGCCCGCUUAACUGCGAGAAUGACGGUUCGAGCAGGUGCGAAAGCAGGUCAUAGUGAUCCGGUGGUUCUGUAUGGAAGGGCCAUCGCUCAACGGAUAAAAGGUACUCCGGGGAUAACAGGCUGAUACCGCCCAAGAGUUCAUAUCGACGGCGGUGUUUGGCACCUCGAUGUCGGCUCAUCACAUCCUGGGGCUGAAGUCGGUCCCAAGGGUAUGGCUGUUCGCCAUUUAAAGUGGUACGCGAGCUGGGUUUAGAACGUCGUGAGACAGUUCGGUCCCUAUCUGCCGUGGGCGUUGGAAGAUUGAAGGGGGCUGCUCCUAGUACGAGAGGACCGGAGUGGACGAACCUCUGGUGUUCGGGUUGUGUCGCCAGACGCAUUGCCCGGUAGCUAAGUUCGGAAUCGAUAACCGCUGAAAGCAUCUAAGCGGGAAGCGAGCCCUGAGAUGAGUCUUCCCUGACGGUUUAACCGUCCUAAAGGGUUGUUCGAGACUAGAACGUUGAUAGGCAGGGUGUGUAAGCGUUGUGAGGCGUUGAGCUAACCUGUACUAAUUGCCCGUGAGGCUUAACCAUACAACACCCAAGGGGUUUUGUA
This 1515-nucleotide ribosomal RNA is filed under the name Vibrio mimicus. RNAcentral describes it as "partial 23S ribosomal RNA". It matches the Rfam family "Bacterial large subunit ribosomal RNA", at positions 1452 to 2925 of the family's 2925-position model. The record is from RNAcentral. Lineage: Bacteria; Pseudomonadati; Pseudomonadota; Gammaproteobacteria; Vibrionales; Vibrionaceae.